This 872-nucleotide ribosomal RNA is filed under the name uncultured bacterium. Its description in RNAcentral is "bacterial SSU rRNA". It matches the Rfam family "Bacterial small subunit ribosomal RNA", at positions 21 to 901 of the family's 1533-position model. The record is from RNAcentral.
GGCUCAGGACGAACGCUUGCGGCGUGCCUAAGAAAUGCAAGUCGAGCGGGGUGAGAGAGCUUGCUCUCGAACCUAGCGGCGAACGGUCGCGUAACACGUAAGCAACCUGCCCCGAAGACCGGGACAACAUUCCGAAAGGAGUGCUAAUACCGGAUGUGGCCAUCUGGGGACAUCCCCGGGUGAUUAAAGCCUGUACAAGGGCUUCGGGAGGGGCUUGCGGCCUAUCAGCUAGUUGGUGGGGUAACGGCCUACCAAGGCGACGACGGGUAGCGGGUCUGAGAGGACGAUCCGCCGGACUGGGACUGAGAUACGGCCCAGACUCCUACGGGGGGCAGCAAUUAGGAAUCUUGCACAAUGGGGGAAACCCUGAUGCAGCGACGCCGCGUGGGUGAGGAAGGCCUUCGGGUUGUAAAGCCCUUUUACGGGGGAAGAAACAAAUGACGGUACCCCGGGAAUAAGCUCCGGCUAACUACGUGCCAGCAGCCGCGGUAAUACGUAGGGAGCGAGCGUUGUCCGAAGUUACUGGGCGUAAAGCGCGCGUAGGCGGGCUGUUAAGUGAGAGGUGAAAGGCUGGGGCUCAACCCCAUGCAGUGCCUCUCAUACUGGCGGUCUUGAGUGCGGCAGGGAGAAGUGGAAUGGCUGGUGUAGCGGUGAAAUGCGUAGAUAUCAGUCGGAACACCGGUGGCGAAGGCGGCUUCUUGGGCCUGGACUGACGCUGAGGCGCGAAAGCUGGGGGAGCGAACGGGAUUAGAUACCCCGGUAGUCCCAGCCGUAAACGAUGGAUACUAGGUGUCGGGGGUAUCGACCCCUCCGGUGCCGCAGCUAACGCAUUAAGUAUCCCGCCUGGGGAGUACGGCCGCAAGGUUGAAACU